CAAUAGCAUAUAUUAACGUUGUUGCAGUUGAAAAGCUCGUAGUUGAACUUUUGGUAGGAGCGACCUGGCCUUGGGCGCAUGCCCUUGUUUGCCGUGUGUCGUAUCUGGCCAUCCUUUUCUUCUUUUUGGAAGGAAUCUUUUACUGUGAGUAAACUGGAGUGCUCAAAACAAGACGUUUGUUUGGUACAUUAAAGCAUGGAAUAAUAAGAUAGGACCUGGUUACUAUUUUGUUGGUUUGCAUAGCUAGGUAAUGAUUAACAGGGACAGUUGGGGGUAUUCGUAUUUAAUUGUCAGGGGUGAAAUUCUUGGAUUUAUGAAAGACGAACGACUGCGAAAGCAUUUACCAAGGAUGUUUUCAUUA
This 361-nucleotide ribosomal RNA is filed under the name uncultured eukaryote. RNAcentral describes it as "partial 18S ribosomal RNA". It matches the Rfam family "Eukaryotic small subunit ribosomal RNA", at positions 592 to 975 of the family's 1831-position model. The record is from RNAcentral.